Molecule: ribosomal RNA, 2928 nt
Filed under: Staphylococcus saprophyticus
Lineage: Bacteria; Bacillati; Bacillota; Bacilli; Caryophanales; Staphylococcaceae
Description: 23S ribosomal RNA
Rfam family: Bacterial large subunit ribosomal RNA
Source: RNAcentral
AGAUUAAGUUAUUAAGGGCGCACGGUGGAUGCCUUGGCACUAGAAGCCGACGAAGGACGUUACUAACGACGAUAUGCUUUGGGGAGCUGUAAGUAAGCUUUGAUCCAGAGAUUUCCGAAUGGGGAAACCCAGCACGAGUUAUGUUGUUAUCGAUAUGUGAAUACAUAGCAUAUCUGAAGGCAGACGCGGAGAACUGAAACAUCUUAGUACCCGCAGGAAGAGAAAGAAAAAUCGAUUCCCUGAGUAGCGGCGAGCGAAACGGGAAGAGCCCAAACCAACGAGCUUGCUUGUUGGGGUUGUAGGACACUCUAUACGGAGUUACAAAAGAACAGACUAGACGAAUCAUCUGGAAAGAUGAAUCAAAGAAGGUAAUAAUCCUGUAGUCGAAAGUUUGUUCACUCUUGAGUGGAUCCUGAGUACGACGAAACACGAGAAAUUCCGUCGGAAUCUGGGAGGACCAUCUCCCAAGGCUAAAUACUCUCUAGUGACCGAUAGUGAACCAGUACCGUGAGGGAAAGGUGAAAAGUACCCCGGAAGGGGAGUGAAAUAGAACUUGAAACCGUGUGCUUACAAGUAGUCAGAGCCCGUUAAUGGGUGAUGGCGUGCCUUUUGUAGAAUGAACCGGCGAGUUACGAUUUGAUGCAAGGUUAAGCAGUGAAUGUGGAGCCGUAGCGAAAGCGAGUCUGAAUAGGGCGUUGAGUAUUUGGUCGUAGACCCGAAACCAGGUGAUCUACCCAUGACCAGGUUGAAGUUCAGGUAACACUGAAUGGAGGACCGAACCGACUUACGUUGAAAAGUGAGCGGAUGAGUUGUGGGUAGCGGAGAAAUUCCAAUCGAACCUGGAGAUAGCUGGUUCUCUCCGAAAUAGCUUUAGGGCUAGCCUCAAGUGAUGAUUAUUGGAGGUAGAGCACUGUUUGGACGAGGGGCCCUUAUCGGGUUACCGAAUUCAGACAAACUCCGAAUGCCAAUCAAUUUAACUUGGGAGUCAGAACGCGGGUGAUAAGGUCCGUGUUCGAAAGGGAAACAGCCCAGACCACCAGCUAAGGUCCCAAAAUAUAUGUUAAGUGGAAAAGGAUGUGGCGUUGCCCAGACAACUAGGAUGUUGGCUUAGAAGCAGCCAUCAUUUAAAGAGUGCGUAAUAGCUCACUAGUCGAGUGACACUGCGCCGAAAAUGUACCGGGGCUAAACAUAUUACCGAAGCUGUGGAUUGUCCGUAAGGACAAUGGUAGGAGAGCGUUCUAAGGGCGUUGAAGCAUGAUCGCAAGGACAUGUGGAGCGCUUAGAAGUGAGAAUGCCGGUGUGAGUAGCGAAAGACGGGUGAGAAUCCCGUCCACCGAUUGACUAAGGUUUCCAGAGGAAGGCUCGUCCGCUCUGGGUUAGUCGGGUCCUAAGCUGAGGCCGAUAGGCGUAGGCGAUGGAUAACAGGUUGAUAUUCCUGUACCACCAUUAUUCGUUUUAAGCGAUGGGGGGACGCAGUAGGAUAGGCGAAGCGUACGAUUGGAUUGUACGUCCAAGCAGUGAGAUUGAGUGUUAGGCAAAUCCGGCACUCUUAAGAUUGAGCUGUGAUGGGGAGAGGAAAUUGUUUCCUCGAGUCGUUGAUUUCACACUGCCAAGAAAAGCCUCUAGCUAGAAUUGUGGUGCCCGUACCGCAAACCGACACAGGUAGUCAAGAUGAGAAUUCUAAGGUGAGCGAGCGAACUCUCGUUAAGGAACUCGGCAAAAUGACCCCGUAACUUCGGGAGAAGGGGUGCUCUUUAGGGUUAACGCCCAGGAGAGCCGCAGUGAAUAGGCCCAAGCGACUGUUUAUCAAAAACACAGGUCUCUGCUAAACCGUAAGGUGAUGUAUAGGGGCUGACGCCUGCCCGGUGCUGGAAGGUUAAGAGGAGUGGUUAGCUUCUGCGAAGCUACGAAUCGAAGCCCCAGUAAACGGCGGCCGUAACUAUAACGGUCCUAAGGUAGCGAAAUUCCUUGUCGGGUAAGUUCCGACCCGCACGAAAGGCGUAACGAUUUGGGCACUGUCUCAACGAGAGACUCGGUGAAAUCAUAGUACCUGUGAAGAUGCAGGUUACCCGCGACAGGACGGAAAGACCCCGUGGAGCUUUACUGUAGUCUGAUAUUGAAAUUCGGCACAGCUUGUACAGGAUAGGUAGGAGCCUGAGAUACGUGAGCGCUAGCUUACGUGGAGGCGUUGGUGGGAUACUACCCUCGCUGUGUUGGAUUUCUAACCCGCACCAUUUAUCAUGGUGGGAGACAGUGUCAGAUGGGCAGUUUGACUGGGGCGGUCGCCUCCUAAAGAGUAACGGAGGCGCUCAAAGGUUUCCUCAGAAUGGUUGGAAAUCAUUCAUAGAGUGUAAAGGCAUAAGGAAGCUUGACUGCGAGACUUACAAGUCGAGCAGGGUCGAAAGACGGACUUAGUGAUCCGGUGGUUCCGCAUGGAAGGGCCAUCGCUCAACGGAUAAAAGCUACCCCGGGGAUAACAGGCUUAUCUCCCCCAAGAGUUCACAUCGACGGGGAGGUUUGGCACCUCGAUGUCGGCUCAUCGCAUCCUGGGGCUGUAGUCGGUCCCAAGGGUUGGGCUGUUCGCCCAUUAAAGCGGUACGCGAGCUGGGUUCAGAACGUCGUGAGACAGUUCGGUCCCUAUCCGUCGUGGGCGUAGGAAAUUUGAGAGGAGCUGUCCUUAGUACGAGAGGACCGGGAUGGACAUACCUCUGGUGUACCAGUUGUCGUGCCAACGGCAUCGCUGGGUAGCUAUGUAUGGACGGGAUAAGUGCUGAAAGCAUCUAAGCAUGAAGCCCCCCUCAAGAUGAGAUUUCCCAACUUCGGUUAUAAGAUCCCUCAAAGAUGAUGAGGUUAAUAGGUUCGAGGUGGAAGCAUAGCGAUAUGUGCAGCUGACGAAUACUAAUCGAUCGAAGACUUAAUCAAAUUUUA